CAGCAGCCGCGGUAAUACGAAGGUGGCAAGCGUUAUUCGGAUUUACUGGGCGUACAGGGAGCGUAGGCGGUUCGGUAAGCCCUCUGUGAAAUCUUCAGGCUUAACCUGGAAAAGUCGGAGGGGACUGCUGGGCUAGAGGACGGGAGAGGAGCGCGGAAUUCCCGGUGUAGCGGUGAAAUGCGUAGAGAUCGGGAGGAAGGCCGGUGGCGAAGGCGGCGCUCUGGAACGUUUCUGACGCUGAGGCUCGAAAGCGUGGGGAGCAAACAGGAUUAGAUACCCUGGUAGUCCACGCCUUAAACUAUGAAUACUAAGUGUCGGCGGGUUACCGCCGGUGCCGCAGCUAACGCAUUAAGUAUUCCGCCUGGGAAGUACGGCCGCAGGGUUGAAACUUAAAGGAAUUGACGG
Molecule: ribosomal RNA, 405 nt
Filed under: uncultured bacterium
Lineage: Bacteria
Description: bacterial SSU rRNA
Rfam family: Bacterial small subunit ribosomal RNA
Source: RNAcentral